UAGGGAAUCUUCGGCAAUGGGGGCAACCCUGACCGAGCAACGCCGCGUGAGUGAAGAAGGUUUUCGGAUCGUAAAGCUCUGUUGUAAGAGAAGAACGAGUGUGAGAGUGGAGAGUUCACACUGUGACGGUAUCUUACCAGAAAGGGACGGCUAACUACGUGCCAGCAGCCGCGGUAAUACGUAGGUCCCGAGCGUUGUCCGGAUUUAUUGGGCGUAAAGCGAGCGCAGGCGGUUAGAUAAGUCUGAAGUUAAAGGCUGUGGCUUAACCAUAGUACGCUUUGGAAACUGUUUAACUUGAGUGCAAGAGGGGAGAGUGGAAUUCCAUGUGUAGCGGUGAAAUGCGUAGAUAUAUGGAGGAACACCGGUGGCGAAAGCGGCUCUCUGGCUUGUAACUGACGCUGAGGCUCGAAAGCGUGGGGAGCAAACAGGAUUAGAUACCCUGGUAGUCCACGCCGUAAACGAUGAGUGCUAGGUGUUAGACCCUUUCCGGGGUUUAGUGCCGUAGCUAACGCAUUAAGCACUCCGCCUGGGGAGUACGACCGCAAGGUUG
Molecule: ribosomal RNA, 550 nt
Filed under: uncultured bacterium
Lineage: Bacteria
Description: bacterial SSU rRNA
Rfam family: Bacterial small subunit ribosomal RNA
Source: RNAcentral